CUAAGACGGACACAUUUUAUGAGUGAAUUUGACUUUGAGUGACAUACAGGUUUCUUUGAAAAAUACUUUCUUAUAUCCAGGUUCUUCCUUUUUGCUGCCGUCCUCCUCUCCUCCUUGCAGGUCCUCGCAGCGCAGGAUUGCCGCUGUUAAAACUAAACAGAGCUCCCUGAAAGGCUCAGUCAAUGACAUUGGACAUAUUUGUCACAUGACGUAGGAUUCCAGUAGCGAACGUAAUUUAACCCUUUCUGCACCGCUGGGUGACUGAGACGUUGACAGAUUGUUUUUUUCUUUCUAUCGGGUUUGUUUUUCUUUACUCGAAGAGAUCAAAUUACUGGUGGGGACAAUUCAAUAACCGCCCUUGCUUUGAAGGUCGUUUGCGUUACUUUGACUUUUCUCCUGUGUGUCAUUCCCUCCGUGUCUCAGGUUUUCUAGUUUCAGUUUUCUCUCUUGUCCUCCAGGACUGCUUUCGUCCUCCAGGUUGCUCCACCUUCCUGUCAAAAAUCAGCUGAUUGCUCCUCUGUCCUCAGUCAGUCAUCACCAGCUUGUCGUAUCAGCCAGUUAGACUACCUGGAGUACCUGGACCUCCUCUCCUGGAAUCAAUCACAUCAGUGUGACUGCUUCUUCACAGAAUCACACUGUGAAAAGAGCUGUUCUUAGUUCUACUUUCUGAUCCUUUAUACAUGACCAACACGGCGUGACCAGAAAAAAAACGGCGGAUGACUGAAGCGGGCGGCCAAAGAGUAAACUUUCAAAACUUAUCACACAUUUGAGUUCCAUGUGUGACAACUGCAAGUGUCCAGAGUGAGGACAGACUGAGGGACCCACUGCUGCACAUCAUCUGUGAGGCUUUGCACCCCUGAUGAUCCACCAGGACAAACUCAGCAGUGUGUGAGGAAGAGGAGGAGGAAGAGCCAGCAGCAGCUGACAGAUGGAGAGAAUAGACAGACUGUUCCCUGUUUGUGAAGGACUGCUAGAAAAGUUUAACAUCACUAAUUGUCUGUCCUGAAUCAGUCUUAUUAGGAAAUGUUCAAAUAAUUUUAUCAUUCCAGUGUUUUCAGUACUCAGGCCCUUCAAGUUACACACUAUGAAAGGCAGCAACAAGUUUAAUAUUCAGAAACCUAAAGUAUGUAUCAGCAGCAGAACGGAGCUAAAAAUAAAUGUUUGUUUCAGUUCUAUGAAGCUUUGAGUAUUUUGGAUUAGUAGCACUGCUGUGUUUGUUGUAUCGUAUUGCUGUAAUUGUUUAUAUGCUUUAUGUAUUUUGAGGUAAGUUGAUCUAUAGUGUUACAUCAUAUUCCAUAAGGAUGUUAUGUGUUUGUAUACUUUCUGCCCAGUUUGACCCAUUUAGCAGAAGUCAGCCUGUUUAAGGCUCUGAUAUCUAUUCUGUAUGACUUAAAUCGUUGAAAACGAUGUUCCGGGAGUCCGCUGUUCUCGCCGGCUCUAAUAAUCCUCGACCUCGCUGUCUGCUAUGGAGCUGGCAGGUCACAGACGUCUCCGAAAAUGUCGGAGCGCGUUUGGAAAUAUAUGAUAUCUUGAUAAAUUGAGCAGAUAUUUGAAGUUUACACAGCUACAUUCUAGCUUGAAAAUAACUUAAAAGUUUAUUUUGUGACCCAGAAAGAGUAAUAUUUAAAAGUUUUUAGCCCCGCUCGUCCGCCAUUGCCGCGUUUGAGUUUUGGACGAAAUGCAUUCUGGGAUAUUUAGCUGUAUCAAGUCCACACAAGUCACCACUGAUGCAUGCUCGAUAAAACGGGCGGAGCGAGAACACAUCCGGGACUUUUUCGCGUUCUCGGCUUGAUGCAUACUUCGAAUUGGAACAGUACUUGGUCUCCGACUGAUGACGUAUCACGAGUACAUGAGAACGCAAGUACGCAUAUUGAGAAAGGCCCUUCCCAUUUAACAAGCCUCUCACUUCCGCACUUCUUGUACUUCCUAAUACGCGCCGUACGUAGUACGCCAACUGCGCGUACUCCGAAGCGUGCGGUUGCUGGAUUGGGACACAGCCUCAUGUCGUGUCCAAAUUCAUGGGCUGCAUCCUCUUGAGGACCCGGCCUUCGCGGUCUACGUGGGCCUAUUCUGACAAACCAUCCUACUUUGGCAAAACGUCCUACCGUAUGUUUAUGCACAUUUCUGCUGUCACAGAGUAAUUCCAGCACCAAUUUAAGUAGGUAUGACGGUUUGCCACUUAACUUUGCCCAUCAGAGUAUACUUGUAGCUCGUAUGCAUACAGCCAGGAUGGUUUGGCACUUAAUUUUACCCGUCAGAGUAUGUGUGUAGCUGUUAUUAACAAAGGUAGGAUGAUUUGCCACUGAAUUUUAGCUGUUAAAGUAUGCUUCUAGCUCAGAUUAACAAAAGUAGGACGAUUUGCCACUAAAUUUUAGCAGUUUAAGUAUGCUUGUAGGUGACAUUCACAAAGGUAGGAUGGUUUGGCAGUUAAUUUUACCAGUCAGAGUAUUUUUCUAGCUAAUAUUCACAAAGGUAGGACGGUUUGCCACUGAAUUUCGUGUUGUGCGCAGAAACAACGGGUAGGAUGGUUUGCUGGGUAGGAUGAUUUGCCAGGUAGGAUGGAUUCCCAGAACACCCCGGGUCCUCAGAAGGUCGGGUAAGCUUGAAGUAAACAGCUGUGAUAUUGGACGGUCUAGCCUUGCGAUUUCGUCACUGCUGUCUUGGUGGAGUUUAAUAAACUCUGUCGUCUGCUCCUUGCUAUCUAAAUUAUAACAGGACACUGGUGUAAAUUCUUGACCAUCUCACACUUCUGUUUAAUCAGUUUUCUGUUUGAUGAUUAUUCAGCUGUGUGAAAACCAUCCAGGAGAUUAAUAAUGUUUUAUUUGAUCUAAUCUAAUAUCUUUAAUCUCAGCCAAACCAAUUUACUCACAAACCAAUAAAACACUGAAAAAGCCAAACAAUAACAUUUCUAGGUUGUCUAAGUGACUAAUAUAUUACGUUUAACCUGAGUAGCGAAAGUCCGUGGUGAUCUGAAAAUGAUGCGCCGGGAGUUGUGCUGUUCUCGGCGGCUUCAGUGACCCUUGAGCUCCCAGCUAGCUAUCGAGCUGGUGGAUAACAGACGUCGGAGCACUUUUGCAAAUAUGUGAUAUCUUGAUAAACCGAGCAGAUAUUUGAAGUUAACACACCCACAUUCUCGCCUGAAAAUACGUUAAAAGUUUAUUUUGUGACCCAGAAAGAUUAAUAAGAGUAAUAUUAAAAACUUAGUAGCGGCUGCCAUUGUUGAAAACUGGAAUUGGCUGGGCCGCGCUUUGAAUUCUGGGAUAUGGUGGGCCACGAAGGACACACUCGACCCAUCCUUCAAAUUUGGGGAAAAGGAGGACGCAUUUGUCGGCUGCAUUUGGAGGAGUCUACGAAUUUGGACAGCCUUCGUUGCGUCGCUGUGACGUAAUCGGCCUACAAAUGCGGCCUCAGGAGGAUGCAGCCCAUGAAUUUGGACACGACCUCAUACUUC
Long non-coding RNA from Oreochromis aureus, 3451 nucleotides. The record is from Ensembl. Lineage: Eukaryota; Metazoa; Chordata; Actinopteri; Cichliformes; Cichlidae.